UCUUCCGCAAUGGACGAAAGUCUGACGGAGCAACGCCGCGCGAGUGCUGAAGGUUUUCGGAACGUAAAACUCUGUUGUUAGGCAAGAACAAGUACCGUUCGAAUAUGGCGGCACCUUGACGGUACCUAACUAAAAAGCCACGGCUAACUACGUGCCAGCAGCCGCGGUAAUACGUAGGUGGCAAGCGUUGUCCGGAAUUAUUGGGCGUAAAGCGCGCGCAGGCGGUUUCUUAAGUCUGAUGUGAAAGCCCCCGGCUCAACCGGGGAGGGUCAUUGGAAACUGGGGAGCUUGAGUGCAGAAGAGGAGAGUGGAAUUCCACGUGUAGCGGUGAAAUGCGUAGAGAUGUGGAGGAACACCAGUGGCGAAGGCGACUCUCUGGUCUGUAACUGACGCUGAGGCGCGAAAGCGUGGGGAGCGAACAG
This 422-nucleotide ribosomal RNA is filed under the name uncultured bacterium. RNAcentral's name for it is "bacterial SSU rRNA". It matches the Rfam family "Bacterial small subunit ribosomal RNA", at positions 362 to 775 of the family's 1533-position model. The record is from RNAcentral.